Long non-coding RNA from Homo sapiens (human), 660 nucleotides. The record is from Ensembl. NCBI's taxonomy places the organism in Eukaryota, Metazoa, Chordata, Mammalia, Primates, Hominidae.
GCCUGUCCCGGACCGCCCGGCGUCAGACGGAGCGACGGGGCCGGCCGCAGCCUCAGCCACGCGUCCCUCGGUGGCGGGCAGGCUCCUCUUGGCCUGCAGCCUUACUUUCAUGCCCUUCUUCACAGUGUACUCAUCAGCACGGCAUAAGGAAAGAGCAGACACGGCUCCUGCCCUCAUAAUGCUUACAGUCUACAGAACAGUGCUGGGGACACAGUCCUGAGUGUUGCCUUCUGAUCAACCACUUAACUGACUGCCUGGCCUCAGGAAAGCAGCUGAGCUUAUCUGUUCUUAGUCUCCUGGGAGAUUAAGAUGAGUGAUCUAGAGGAGGAAGAUGUUGAUGAAUUCAGCUCCAGUGGUUUUAAGUGCCCAACAUGCUUUGCAGUGCAAGGAAGGAAAUGCGAUACAGAACUCAAAUGGUGUGCAGCAGAUAAAAUAAAGUGUAUUGAAUUCUCUGGCAUCAUAAACACAGGGCACAAUAAGGGAAACUGGUUAUUUUAUGAAGGCUUUGGCUGGAAUGGUGUGCUUUCCUUUAAGGAAUCAAACUUGACUUAUGGAGCCAAUAAAAGCUACUUGGGAAAACUGGCCUCAUACCUUGUCUACACAGUCCCUGUACAGGAUUCCUGAUGUGUGGUAAGUAAAGCAUGUCACUUUCUGACAGGC